GUGCUCGCUUUGGCAGCACAUAUACUAAAAUUGAAAUGAUACAGAGAAGAUUAGCAUGGGCCCUGCACAAGGAUGACACGCAAAUUCAUGAAGCAUUCCACAUUUUU
Molecule: small nuclear RNA, 107 nt
Filed under: Physeter macrocephalus (sperm whale)
Lineage: Eukaryota; Metazoa; Chordata; Mammalia; Artiodactyla; Physeteridae
Source: RNAcentral